Molecule: ribosomal RNA, 254 nt
Filed under: uncultured bacterium
Lineage: Bacteria
Description: partial 16S ribosomal RNA
Rfam family: Bacterial small subunit ribosomal RNA
Source: RNAcentral
CACGUAGGGUGCGAGCGUUGUCCGGAAUUAUUGGGCGUAAAGAGCUCGUAGGCGGUGUGUCGCGUCGGCCGUGAAAACCUGCAGCUUAACUGUGGGCUUGCGGUCGAUACGGGCAUCACUGGAGUUCAGCAGGGGAGACUGGAAUUCCUGGUGUAGCGGUGAAAUGCGCAGAUAUCAGGAGGAACACCGGUGGCGAAGGCGGGUCUCUGGGCCGAUACUGACGCUGAGGAGCGAAAGCGUGGGGAGCGAACAGG